AUUAAUAUGGCAGAUAAGUGCAAUGAAUUUAAGCUUCAUUUAUAGGGGUGGAAGCCCCCUUUUUAAUA
Non-coding RNA from Priapulus caudatus, 68 nucleotides. The record is from the annotation of a RefSeq genome assembly. Lineage: Eukaryota; Metazoa; Priapulida; Priapulimorpha; Priapulimorphida; Priapulidae.